CCUACGGGGGACAGCAGUGGGGGAUAUUGCACAAUGGGGGAAACCCUGAUGCAGCGACGCCGCGUGUGGGAAGACGGUCCUCUGGAUUGUAAACCACUGUCCCCAGGGACGAAGAUGACGGUACCGGGGGAGGAAGCGCCGGCUAACUACGUGCCAGCAGCCGCGGUAAUACGUCGGGAGCGAGCGUGGUCCGGAAUUACGGGGGGUAAAGGGAGCGGAGGCGGGACUGCAAGUUGGGUGUCAAAUCUACCGGCUCAACCGGUAGCCGCACUCAAAACUGCAGUUCUUGAGUGAAGUAGAGGCAGGCGGCAUUCCUAGUGUAGCGGUGAAAUGCGUCGAUAUUAGGAGGAACACCAGUGGCGAAGGCGGCCUGCUGGGCUUUUACUGACGCUGAGGCUCGACAGUGUGGGGAGCAAACAGGAUUAGAUACCCCAGUAGUC
Molecule: ribosomal RNA, 440 nt
Filed under: uncultured bacterium
Lineage: Bacteria
Description: partial 16S ribosomal RNA
Rfam family: Bacterial small subunit ribosomal RNA
Source: RNAcentral